GGUAAACCGGAGGAGGAGGAGAUUUGUACUCGUAAUGCUUCUUAGGUGGUGGAGGAGAGUGGUAAACCGGAGGAGGAGGAGACUUGUAAACCGGUGGAGGAGGAGAUUUGUACUCGUAGUGUUUCUUAGGUGGUGGAGGAGAGUGGUAGACUGGAGGAGGAGGAGACUUGUAAACCGGUGGAGGAGGUGAUUUGUACUCGUAGUGUUUCUUAGGUGGUGGGGGAGAAUGGUAAACCGGAGGAGGAGGAGACUUGUAAACUGGUGGAGGAGGAGAUUUGUACUCGUAGUGUUUCUUAGGUGGCGGAGGAGAGUGGUAAACUGGAGGAGGAGGAGACUUGUAAACCGGUGGAGGAGGAGAUUUGUACUCGUAGUGUUUCUUAGGUGGUGGAGGAGAGUGGUAGACUGGAGGAGGAGGAGACUUGUAAACCGGUGGAGGAGGAGAUUUGUACUCGUAGUGUUUCUUAGGUGGUGGAGGAGAGUGGUAGACCGGAGGGGGAGGAGACUUGUAAACCGGUGGAGGAGGUGAUUUGUACUCGUAGUGUUUUUUAGGUGGUGGAGGAGAGUGGUAAACCGGAGGAGGAGGAGAUUUGUAAACCGGUGGAGGAGGUGAUUUGUACUCGUAAUGUUUCUUGGGAGGAG
This 639-nucleotide long non-coding RNA is filed under the name Brassica rapa (field mustard). Its description in RNAcentral is "long non-coding RNA (BRAP_LNC005565)". The record is from RNAcentral. Lineage: Eukaryota; Viridiplantae; Streptophyta; Magnoliopsida; Brassicales; Brassicaceae.